GACGAACGCUGGCGGCGUGCUUAACACAUGCAAGUCGAGCGGAGAGGCCCGGCUUUGGUGGGGUGCUCGAGUGGCGAACUUGUAACUAACACGUGAUUAACCUCCCCUUGACUUUGUGAUACCGUCAGGAAACUGAGGCUAAUACCGGGUAGGAGCUCCUGCUGCAUGGUGGGGGUUGGAAAGUUGCGGCGGUUGGGGGUGGACUCGCGGCUGAUCAGCUUGUUGGUGGGGUAGUGGCUUACCAAGGGUUUGACGGGGAGCCGGCCUGAGAGGGUGUCCGGGCACACAUGGGAAGUGAUAGAGGCUCGAAUCCCCCAGGGGGGGGAAGUGUGGGAAAUUGUAGGAAGGGCGGAAGCCUGAUGCAGCAACGCCGCGUGCGGGAUGACGGCGUUCGGGGUGUAAACCGCUUUCGCCUGUGACGAAGCGUGAGUGACGGUAAUGUGUAAAGAAGCACCGGCUAACUACGUG
RNAcentral lists this ribosomal RNA (468 nucleotides) under uncultured bacterium. RNAcentral's name for it is "partial 16S ribosomal RNA". It matches the Rfam family "Bacterial small subunit ribosomal RNA", at positions 28 to 507 of the family's 1533-position model. The record is from RNAcentral.